RNAcentral lists this ribosomal RNA (253 nucleotides) under uncultured bacterium. RNAcentral's name for it is "partial 16S ribosomal RNA". It matches the Rfam family "Bacterial small subunit ribosomal RNA", at positions 524 to 776 of the family's 1533-position model. The record is from RNAcentral.
UACGUAGGGGGCAAGCGUUGUCCGGAAUCAUUGGGCGUAAAGCGCGCGUAGGCGGCCCGGUAAGUCCGCUGUGAAAGUCAAAGGCUCAACCUUUGAAUGUCAGCGGAUACUGCCGGGCUAGAGUCCGGAAGAGGCGAGUGGAACUCCUGGUGUAGCGGUGGAAUGCGCAGAUAUCAGGAAGAACACCAACGGCGAAGGCAGCUCGCUGGGACGGAACUGACGCUAAGGCGCGAAAGCGUGGGGAGCAAACAGG